This 480-nucleotide ribosomal RNA is filed under the name uncultured bacterium. RNAcentral's name for it is "partial 16S ribosomal RNA". It matches the Rfam family "Bacterial small subunit ribosomal RNA", at positions 28 to 507 of the family's 1533-position model. The record is from RNAcentral.
GAUGAACGCUGGCGGCGUGCUUAACACAUGCAAGUCGAACGAAGCAUUUAGGACAGAUUCCUUCGGUUUGAAGUUCUUUAUGACUGAGUGGCGGAUGGGUGAGUAACGCGUGGGUAACCUGCCUUGUACUGGGGGUUGGCAGCUGAAAACGGCUGUUAUUACCCCAUAGGCGACCAUUGUUGAUUGCAAUGGUGGGAAAACCUCGGGGGUAUAAGAUGGACCCGCGUCUGAUUUGCUAGUUGGGGGGAUAACAGCCCACCAAGGCGACGAUCAGUAGCCGACCUGAGAGGGUGACCGGCCACAUUGGGACUGAGACACGGCCCAGACUCCUACGGGAGGCAGCAGUGGGGAAUAUUGCACAAUGGAGGAAACUCUGAUGCAGCGACGCCGCGUGAGUGAAGAAGUAAUUCGUUAUGUAAAGCUCUAUCAGCAGGGAAGAUAGUGACGGUACCUGACUAAGAAGCUCCGGCUAAAUACGUG